Molecule: ribosomal RNA, 984 nt
Filed under: Tachiramantis cuentasi
Lineage: Eukaryota; Metazoa; Chordata; Amphibia; Anura; Strabomantidae
Description: partial large subunit ribosomal RNA
Rfam family: Bacterial large subunit ribosomal RNA
Source: RNAcentral
UCAAGUAAGGUACAGCUUACUUGAAACAGGAUACAACCUCUUACAACGGGUAAUAAUUUAUUUUUUCCCUAAGUUGGCUUAAAAGCAGCCACCUUUCAAAAAGCGUCAAAGCUUUAUUUUACCCAUUUUCACCCCCCCCCGAACCCUUCACUCAUACUGAGUAAUUCUAUAAACCUAUAGAAUAUUUUAUGUUAAAACUAGUAACAAGAAGCCGCGCUUCUCUUUUAUACAAGUGUACACCGACAAGACCCCCCAUCGGCUCCUAACAGCCAUGAUGCUAAGUAACACCUCCCCAAGAAGACCUUACUUAAAAUUCUGUUACCCUAACACAAGAGUAUACCAAGAAAGAUUAAAAGAAAAAGAAGGAACUCGGCAAACAUUGAUUCCGCCUGUUUACCAAAAACAUCGCCUCUUGCACCAUAUAAGAGGUCCAGCCUGCCCAGUGACUCUGUUUAACGGCCGCGGUAUCCUGACCGUGCGAAGGUAGCAUAAUCACUUGUCUUUUAAAUAAAGACUAGUAUGAAAGGCAUCACGAGAAUCCAGCUGUCUCCUAUUUCUAAUCAGUGAAACUAAUCUCCCAGUGAAAAAGCUGGGAUAAUUAUGCAAGACGAGAAGACCCUAUGGAGCUUCAAACUAAAUGACACCCGCUCCCAUCCAAUUCAAUUUUCUGAAAAAUUACCUCAAUGAGCGGACUGACCAUAAGUUUUUGGUUGGGGCGACCGCGGAGUAAAACCCACCCCCCGCAAUGAUAUAGACUUAGCCUUAAGAUAAGAGCUACAGCUCAAAAAAUCAGUAUACUGACAUCAAUUGACCCAAUAUUUUGAUCAACGAACCAAGUUACCCUAGGGAUAACAGCGCAAUCCGCUUCGAGAGUACAUAUCGACAAGCAGGUUUACGACCUCGAUGUUGGAUCAGGGCAUCCUAGUGGUGCAGCCGCUACUAAAGGUUCGUUUGUUCAACGAUUAAAGCCCUACGUGAUCUGAG